RNAcentral lists this transfer RNA (65 nucleotides) under Dipodomys ordii (Ord's kangaroo rat). It matches the Rfam family "tRNA". Rfam says of the family: Transfer RNA (tRNA) molecules are approximately 80 nucleotides in length. Lineage: Eukaryota; Metazoa; Chordata; Mammalia; Rodentia; Heteromyidae. The record is from Rfam by way of RNAcentral.
GGUGGCUCAGUGGUAGAGCACUCGCUUUGCAUGCGUGAGGCCCUGGGUUCUAUUCCUCAGCACCA